CAGGGGGUGCUGGGGCUGGCCCUGCCCUAGAGCUUGCACAGCUUCAGCCCCCAAGAUGUGGGAGCAACUCAGUCUUGCAGGGCACGGUACAUCCACAGAGGUCUCAGAACAGGUACCUGAGAAUCCCACUCAAGCCUCAUGAUCUACUUCUGCUACUCCAAUCAUCAAUUACUACUGAGCUUUUGCUAUCUGAGUUGCCCAUCCACGCUGCUGUAUUGUCUUUGUUAAAAGAUGCUGUUAACCAACAACUGGGACCUCUACAACAGUGCACAAGGAGGAUUGGUAUGCCUUUACGGAAAAUAUAUUUGUUUCUCUUUCUUUCAUAUGUUAGCAUGAAAGAUGGGUAAAAGGGUAAAAGUCCAUAAUGCCCUGUCUUAUCUUUUCUGGGCAACAGAUGCUUCAAAGUAGUCUAAGAAAUGCUAAUGAAACAACUGUUUUUAUGUUUUGUUUCCUGUUUUGUUGGUUUUUGGGGUUUUUUUUUUUUUUUUCCUUUUUUAUCUUUUCUUAGCAAAAUAUCUCAGGAACUGGCCAUUCUGGAAGACUAAUCACACUGUUAAAAAAAAACCCAA
This 569-nucleotide long non-coding RNA is filed under the name Junco hyemalis (dark-eyed junco). RNAcentral describes it as "lncRNA (ENSJHYG00000010298.1)". The record is from RNAcentral. Lineage: Eukaryota; Metazoa; Chordata; Aves; Passeriformes; Passerellidae.